Felis catus (domestic cat) is the source of this 2834-nucleotide long non-coding RNA. RefSeq lists it as uncharacterized. The transcript is spliced from 2 exons. The record is from RefSeq and is a predicted model, not a curated record. Lineage: Eukaryota; Metazoa; Chordata; Mammalia; Carnivora; Felidae.
UUCGGGAGGGCCGCCAGCGCGCCAACAGGCCCACCCCUGGGCCUUCCGGCCGCUCCCCUCCCUCGGCCGCCUUCCCGGAUCCUGUGCUGGGCCUGCCCGUGCCGCCAUUUCCUCUCGCGGGCCCGGAGGCUCACUUCCACUCCUCGGAGUCUGCAAAUGGCCGGUGCCCGGAACAGCCUGUCCCUCGGAAGAGCCCGUGCCCUGCCGGGCCAGGUCCCAGAGUGCAGCCAGCCCGGCCAAAGGGCCUUCCUUCACCUCCCGGGAGCCGGGUGGGCGCCCCGGGCUGGGGACAAUGACCCAUCACGGUGGGGCAGUGCAGCGCCUGGCGGGUGUCCCCGGGGGUGGCCCACGGGCUCCAUUGCUCACUGAGAAGCCACGGAGAGCGCCUGCCUCGAGGAGACACGGUGCCUCCAAAGGCCAGCCCACCUCCGGAAACCACCGACAUACCAAGAGAAGCACAGGACCGUGUAUGUGUGCGCGCGCGUGUUACAUGCGUAUGACACGCGUGUGCACGGUGUUGCAGGCACAGGACACGCGUGUGCACACAUGUGUUACGUGCACCGGACGCCGUGUGCUUGUGCGUUACACACAGGACACGUGCAGGCACAUGGGUUGCAUGGCAGGACACGUGUGCACACGUGUGUCACGUGCACAGGACACGUGUGUGUGUGACCUGCACACACCGAGGUGCGCACACGCUGGCAAAGGCUUGCGGUCCCCACCUGACCACUGUGGGGACCUGCAGAACGAACAUGGGCUUUGGAGGACGGCGGGCCUGGGUCGAACCCCAUCCCAAUCUUCACCAGCUAGUUGAAUGCGAGGGCUCCGCUUCGGGCCCAGCGCCUUCCCUGGCUGAAUGGAGCCGGCGAGAACCCCCGCUCGGCAGGCAUUUCUGAGACUCAGAAAUAAACCAAGGACUGCCAGCAGGUAUGGGGUGCUCUCCGUGAACCGAGCGCCGUGCUAAGUGUGCACUGUGUGUGUUCCUCCAAGGCGGGGACACUUACUGCACCCAUUUUACAGAGGAGGAAACAGGGCCACGGAGAGACGAAAUGGGGCCACGGAGAGACGAAAUGGGGCCAUGGAGAGACGAAAUGGCUUGCCUUGGAUCAACACAGCCGGGAAACGAAACCGACUGGGUCUGAGCCCCAGCCUCAGGCCCAGAGCUCACGCUCCUCUGUACUCUGCUUUCUCGAACGGGAAAGGUGCCCAGCGUGGUGCGGGCGCCCUGGGCGGGCACUGCUCCCAGUACAACCACCAUCACCCUCGCUUCUUUGCCGUUGAAUCGCAGGGCAGGGGCUGCUCUGCCUUGCCGACCUUUAAGAGCACCCAGACCGGCGUCAGCCACGUUCUCGGAGCUGCUGGUACUUUUCCUUGAAAUAAACAAGCCACAACAAAGCACUUCUAUUAACGAAUGGAAGGAGCCUCGGGGAGCCCGCAGAAGACGGAGGAAGGAAGCACCCGUGUCUCUCUCGUUCAGGUUCGGCAGCGAGGGAAGGCGGCCUCAGCGGCUGGGAAGGGCAGAGCCUGAACCCAAAAUUUGGAAAAAGCAGAAGCAGUCACUCGAAAAUGAGGCGGAGGGGGGCGUGGGGAAGAACCCUCAGAACCGAUUACAUCAUAACGUGAGCAAAUUCACAAAAUAAACAGUCACCGUUUUCAAAUUACGGUGGCCGUAAAACUUCUCUGUCCUCACGUGCGCUGAUGGCCAAUGAAUUCUGCACCUCGUUAUCUUGGUGAGAUUAUUAUUUUUUUUUCAAGUUUACAGCUACUCUUUGCAGUUCACCUGUUGAAUGUUUUUUGGGGGGUGGGGAGAGAUUUAAAUGUACCUUUAAACCAGGCAAAAUAUUUGUUAUGUGAUCUUUCAUAAACAUCCCCAAAUAAAUUUAUGUCAGCCUAUACAGAACAGCUAGAGAUUUCAUGAAGAUCUCAAAAUCUAAAGUCCCAAACCCCGUAAUUUUGAAUUUUAAUCUAGUGUUAACCCCGUUCACGCUGCCACACAAAAUAAAAAUUGGUAAUUAAUUAAAGCACUUAAGGUCCGUUAACGUAGGGCAUUUGGAGUCUUAAAAGGCAAAGACAAAGACCAAAAUUUAAAUUAUCAUCUAAUGACGGUGAGGGUGUUUCCUCUACCGAAUUGCUCAGGGCACCGUUUCACCACACAAGCGCAACUUGUUUAUUUUGACCUCAGUUCUUUGAAAUUGUCGACUCCACAAUUGAAAUAUGCUGUGUGUUCCAACAAGGACCCAGCAGUCGUAAUGACAGACCAGCCCAUCUGUGUUGUGAGAAUGUAUAAUUUCAGCCUAUAGUGGAAUUUAUAUAGAAGCGAUGAUAGGAACACUGACUGCUCUGUGUGGUACUUUCCCAAAGGAAAAAAAAAAAAAAACGCACAAAAAAACAACAAAAAAAACCAGCCAAGAAGAAAUGGAUGCCGUGAAGAAGGCUGAUAUUUUGCCCGAUUCAGGACACAAAAGAUUCCAUGGCAUUUUCCUGACUUGGGGAUGGGGGGAGGAGGCAGAAUGUUAUUACCCAAGUUGAAAAAACAAAGAUGGUCACCGAUUACGCAUAACCACCCUGCUCUGCUGGAAAACGUGUUAUGCGUAUACGUUACAACCUUCAGGUGAACAGAAUCUCGGUGGAAAAUACUAACUCAGGAUGAAAAUGCUCAUCUGCGGAAAUUAAUUGAUUUUAUGCUACUUGCCCUUACUUCCAAAAAGGAGAUGAAGUCAUGUUCAAGGAAAUCAGACUGUCAUUCCAGGACUUGGGAUUCCAGGCCUAUUUACCUACACUGAUUACACCAAAAAAUAAAAUUUUGGGAGAUGAGGCGUGGGCAACUAGCAAAA